UGAGGAAUAUUGGACAAUGGGCGAGAGCCUGAUCCAGCCAUGCCGCGUGCAGGAAGACUGCCCUAUGGGUUGUAAACUGCUUUUAUACGGGAAGAAACACCCCCACGUGUGGGGGUUUGACGGUACCGUACGAAUAAGGAUCGGCUAACUCCGUGCCAGCAGCCGCGGUAAUACGGAGGAUCCAAGCGUUAUCCGGAAUCAUUGGGUUUAAAGGGUCCGUAGGCGGGUACGUAAGUCAGUGGUGAAAGUCUGCAGCUCAACUGUAGAACUGCCAUUGAUACUGCAUACCUUGAGUAAUUAUGAAGUGGUUAGAAUAUGUAGUGUAGCGGUGAAAUGCAUAGAUAUUACAUAGAAUACCGAUUGCGAAGGCAGAUCACUAAUAAUUUACUGACGCUGAGGGACGAAAGCGUAGGUAGCGAACAGG
RNAcentral lists this ribosomal RNA (424 nucleotides) under uncultured bacterium. Its description in RNAcentral is "bacterial SSU rRNA". It matches the Rfam family "Bacterial small subunit ribosomal RNA", at positions 355 to 776 of the family's 1533-position model. The record is from RNAcentral.